AGUAAUGCAAAAGAAAUUGCCCUGAUGUGGGGGAUAACCAUUGGAAACGAUGGCUAAUACCGCAUAAUGCCUACGGGCCAAAGAGGGGGACCUUCGGGCCUCUCGCGCCCCGAUAUGCCUAGGUGGGAUUAGCUAGUUGGUGAGGUAAGGGCUCACCAAGGCGACGAUCCCUAGCUGGUCUGAGAGGAUGAUCAGCCACACUGGAAGGGGGACACGGUCCAGACUCCUACGGGAGGCAGUUUUGGGGAAUAUUGCACAAUGGGCGCAAGCCUGAUGCAGCCAUGCCGCGUGUGUGAAGAAGGCCUUCGGGUUGUAAAGCACUUUCAGUCGUGAGGAAGGUAGUGUAGUUAAUAGCUGCAUUAUUUGACGUUAGCGACAGAAGAAGCACCG
RNAcentral lists this ribosomal RNA (390 nucleotides) under Vibrio harveyi. RNAcentral describes it as "bacterial SSU rRNA". It matches the Rfam family "Bacterial small subunit ribosomal RNA", at positions 109 to 495 of the family's 1533-position model. The record is from RNAcentral. Lineage: Bacteria; Pseudomonadati; Pseudomonadota; Gammaproteobacteria; Vibrionales; Vibrionaceae.